AGAGUUUGAUCCUGGCUCAGAAUCAACGCUGGCGGCGCGCUUAACACAUGCAAGUCGCACGAGAAAGUGGAGCAAUCCAUGAGUACAGUGGCGUACGGGUGAGUAACACGUGGAUCAUCUACCUUUUAGUGGGGAAUACCCCCGGGAAACUGGGGAUAAUACCGCAUAAGCUCGUAAGAGGAAAGCAGCAAUGCGCUGAAAGAGGAGUCCGCGGCUGAUUAGCUAGUUGGUGAGGUAAUGGCCCACCAAGGCGAAGAUCGGUAGCCGGCCUGAGAGGGCACACGGCCACACUGGCACUGAAACACGGGCCAGACUCCUACGGGAAGCAGCAGUGGGGAAUCUUGCACAAUGGAGGAAACUCUGAUGCAGCGACGCCGCGUGAGCGAUGAAGCCCUUCGGGGUGUAAAGCUCUUUCGACGGGAACGAUAAUGACGGUACCCGAAGAAGAAGCUGCGGCUAACUACGUGCCAGCAGCCGCGGUAAUACGUAGGCAGCAAGCGUUGUUCGGAAUUACUGGGCGUAAAGAGUGUGUAGGCGGUGCUCUAAGUCUGUUGUGAAAUCUCCCGGCUUAACCGGGAGGGUGCGGCGGAAACUGGAGUGCUUGAGGGUGGGAGAGGUAAGCGGAAUUCCUGGUGUAGCGGUGAAAUGCGUAGAUAUCAGGAGGAACACCUGUGGUGUAGACAGCUUACUGGACCACUUCUGACGCUGAGACACGAAAGCGUGGGUAGCAAACAGGAUUAGAUACCCUAGUAGUCC
RNAcentral lists this ribosomal RNA (756 nucleotides) under uncultured bacterium. Its description in RNAcentral is "bacterial SSU rRNA". It matches the Rfam family "Bacterial small subunit ribosomal RNA", at positions 8 to 796 of the family's 1533-position model. The record is from RNAcentral.